This 285-nucleotide ribosomal RNA is filed under the name Monacha claustralis. RNAcentral describes it as "partial 16S ribosomal RNA". Lineage: Eukaryota; Metazoa; Mollusca; Gastropoda; Stylommatophora; Hygromiidae. The record is from RNAcentral.
UCAGUUGGCUUAUAAUUGAAGUCUAGUAUGAAUGGGACCACGGGAAUAUUCUAUCUUUAAUAUAUAAAAGAAAUUACUAAUUAAGUGAAAAUUCUUAAAAGUUAGAAAAUAGACGAGAAGACCCUAGAAAUUUUUUAUUUAGAUUUUGUUGGGGCGACAGGGUAACAAAAAACUUACCUAUAAAUAAUAGGAAAUUUUUUAGUGGUGUAAUUAAAUUACUCUAGGGAUAACAGCAUAAUAUUUUAAAGGUUGUGACCUCGAUGUUGGACUAGGAAUAUCAUUACU